Molecule: ribosomal RNA, 395 nt
Filed under: uncultured bacterium
Lineage: Bacteria
Description: bacterial SSU rRNA
Rfam family: Bacterial small subunit ribosomal RNA
Source: RNAcentral
GUGUCAGCAGCCGCGGUAAUACGUAGGGGGCGAGCGUUGUCCGGAAUUAUUGGGCGUAAAGCGCGCGCAGGCGGUCUCUUAAGUCUGAUGUGAAAGCCCACGGCUCAACCGUGGAGGGUCAUUGGAAACUGGGGGACUUGAGGGCAGGAGAGGAGAGCGGAAUUCCACGUGUAGCGGUGAAAUGCGUAGAGAUGUGGAGGAACACCAGUGGCGAAGGCGGCUCUCUGGCCUGCACCUGACGCUGAGGCGCGAAAGCGUGGGGAGCAAACAGGAUUAGAUACCCUGGUAGUCCACGCUGUAAACGAUGAGUGCUAAGUGUUAGAGGGGUCACACCCUUUAGUGCUGCAGCUAACGCGAUAAGCACUCCGCCUGGGGAGUACGGCCGCAAGGCUGAA